RNAcentral lists this transfer RNA (74 nucleotides) under bacterium. RNAcentral describes it as "tRNA-Arg". It matches the Rfam family "tRNA". From Rfam's summary of the family: Transfer RNA (tRNA) molecules are approximately 80 nucleotides in length. Their secondary structure includes four short double-helical elements and three loops (D, anti-codon, and T loops). The record is from RNAcentral.
GCGCCUGUAGCUCAGCUGGAUAGAGCACUAGACUUCGAAUCUAGGGGUCAGGGGUUCGAAUCCUCUCGGGCGCG